RNAcentral lists this transfer RNA (63 nucleotides) under Colossendeis robusta. RNAcentral describes it as "tRNA-His". The record is from RNAcentral. Lineage: Eukaryota; Metazoa; Arthropoda; Pycnogonida; Pantopoda; Colossendeidae.
GUAUAAAUAGUUUAUAUAAAAUAAUGAUUUGUGGAGUCAUAGAAUUAGUUAUUAAUUUAUACU